Long non-coding RNA from Daphnia pulex (common water flea), 765 nucleotides. RefSeq lists it as uncharacterized. The record is from RefSeq and is a predicted model, not a curated record. Lineage: Eukaryota; Metazoa; Arthropoda; Branchiopoda; Diplostraca; Daphniidae. The transcript has 2 exons.
UUCAUGCAUUACUACUGUGCCAGCUCUUUGUGGCUAUGGGAAAUCCCAAGCGUCCUUCAGCUUUAGCUAGAAAAUUCCGGAGUUGAACUUCUUACGCAUCGGAUGCUUCUAUCUGCACGACUGGGUACUUAGUAUAAAUUCGAAGCUCCAUCCACUAUGAGCAUCAAACACCAUCCGAAUGAAGAGCAAACAAGUAGAACUGAAGAUAAUAGAAAAAGCCAAACAGACUUGUUUUAUCAUGAACCCUAAUAAGGUCAUUCUUAUUCUUCUCGUGUUGAUUGUCGCUGACGUAUUGACGGUCGCAGCGCAAAACGAAAACGAUCAGAUUUGGGACUACCCGGAAACUGAGCCCGGCAUCGUCGUUAACUAUCGUCUAGUUCGAUUGAGUCGAGCUGCUGAGCCUGCCAUGAUCGGUUCCAGAUUCUCCCGUUGGCUUUUUGGUUAACUCGUCGUCUUGUUUUUGAAUUUUGAAUCAACCGAAUAUUUAUUGUUUGACGCCACCAUUUUCAUACGUAUUGACUUAUUGAGCACCAGUUAGAAAUCGCAUAGCCACAACCAUUAGAACAUCCUACCGGUACAAAAAACCAGCAGAAGAAAAAGCAUCGACAUUACUAUUGAAUACCUUUUCCUGCGCAGGCAACACUCAAGUCUGAGUAGGCCUAGUAAUACAAAAAAUACCUUUUCCUCUUAUGGCGUACCUGUUUCCCAUUCAAAUCGAAUGCUAUUCUUAAUAAUAUUGACCAAUAAAAUCAAAUCCGUUCGAAA